This 357-nucleotide long non-coding RNA is filed under the name Gossypium barbadense (sea-island cotton). Its description in RNAcentral is "long non-coding RNA (GBAR_LNC019044)". Lineage: Eukaryota; Viridiplantae; Streptophyta; Magnoliopsida; Malvales; Malvaceae. The record is from RNAcentral.
GUUAUUGCGACGUGUGUGGGGUGUGGCUGCUGAUUUUGCUGCUAGCUGCUAGGGUUUCUGCUGUUUUAGGCCAAUUGGGCCCUGUAAUUGGGUUUAACAUGGCCCAAGUUUUAUUGGGUUUGGGCCCGGGCAUAUUUGGGCUUGUACAGCUGCCCCUCUUUGCUCGUUGCCGUGUAACGGGAACAGAGCAAAGACUAAAAGCCCAAUUGUGCCCGGUCUUACUAAGCCUUGACUUCUUCGGUGCUUUUCUUCUUUAAAUAGUCUCAUUCCUUCCUAUUACAUCUUCAGAGAUAUAGGAACUGGUGCUUCUAUAUACUCUACUGCAAUGUCGGGGAGAUAGGAUUACUUUCUUCCGUC